AGUACUGAAGGUUGUCAAUCCAAA
Molecule: non-coding RNA, 24 nt
Filed under: Arabidopsis thaliana (thale cress)
Lineage: Eukaryota; Viridiplantae; Streptophyta; Magnoliopsida; Brassicales; Brassicaceae
Source: RNAcentral